GGACUACCCGGGUUUCUAAUCCUGUUUGCUACCCACGCUUUCGUGCCUCAGCGUCAGAAGCGGUCCAGUAAGCUGUCUACACCACAGGUGUUCCUCCUGAUAUCUACGCAUUUCACCGCUACACCAGGAAUUCCGCUUACCUAUCCCACCCUCUAGCACUCUAGUUUCCGCUGCACCCUCCCAGUUAAGCCGGGAGAUUUCACAACAGACUGGGAGCACCGCCUACGCACUCUUUACGCCCAGUAAUUCCGAACAACGCUUGCUGCCUACGUAUUACCGCGGCUGCUGGCAC
This 292-nucleotide ribosomal RNA is filed under the name uncultured Acidobacteriota bacterium. RNAcentral describes it as "uncultured Acidobacteria bacterium partial 16S ribosomal RNA". The record is from RNAcentral. Lineage: Bacteria; Pseudomonadati; Acidobacteriota.